This 460-nucleotide ribosomal RNA is filed under the name uncultured bacterium. Its description in RNAcentral is "partial 16S ribosomal RNA". It matches the Rfam family "Bacterial small subunit ribosomal RNA", at positions 338 to 795 of the family's 1533-position model. The record is from RNAcentral.
CCUACGGGUGGCAGCAGUGAGGAAUAUUGGUCAAUGGACGCAAGUCUGAACCAGCCAUGCCGCGUGCAGGAAGACGGCUCUAUGAGUUGUAAACUGCUUUUGUACGAGGGUAAACGCAGAUACGUGUAUCUGUCUGAAAGUAUCGUUCGAAUAAGGAUCGGCUAACUCCGUGCCAGCAGCCGCGGUAAUACGGAGGAUUCAAGCGUUAUCCGGAUUUAUUGGGUUUAAAGGGUGCGUAGGCGGUCGGAUAAGUUAGAGGUGAAAUCCCGAGGCUCAACUUCGGAAUUGCCUCUGAUACUGUUCGGCUAGAGAGUAGUUGCGGUAGGCGGAAUGUAUGGUGUAGCGGUGAAAUGCUUAGAGAUCAUACAGAACACCGAUUGCGAAGGCAGCAUGCCGGCUCCACACUGACGCUGAGGCACGAAAGCGUGGGUAUCGAACAGGAUUAGAUACCCUAGUAGUC